RNAcentral lists this unclassified non-coding RNA (183 nucleotides) under uncultured Agaricales. RNAcentral describes it as "sequence contains ITS2". Lineage: Eukaryota; Fungi; Basidiomycota; Agaricomycetes; Agaricales. The record is from RNAcentral.
AAUUCUCAAAUUACAAACUUGUUUUUGUAAUUUGGAUAGUUGGGUAUUGCCUGUACUAUGUUUAUGUAGUGGGCUUUCCUUAAAUAUAUAAGUGGCGGUUUUCAGAAACUUGUUUGAUGUUGUAAAUUUAAUACAUCUAUUUUUCUGAUUAUAUUGCUUCUCAUAAUUCUUUUAUAAUGAUAU